UUGGGCUGUGGCUCACAUGGAAGAGCAUCUGCUUGGUGUGCAGAAGGUCCCAGGUUCAAUCCCCAUCUCCCGAU
RNAcentral lists this transfer RNA (74 nucleotides) under Sphaerodactylus townsendi. Its description in RNAcentral is "tRNA-Thr". The record is from RNAcentral. Lineage: Eukaryota; Metazoa; Chordata; Lepidosauria; Squamata; Sphaerodactylidae.